AGCUGCCUAUAAAUAUAUGCUCUACGGAGCCUACAGAAGUACACUUGGAUUUUAAGUAAGAUAAAGUGUUCACUUGAUUUCAAAAAUAUUUACUAAGCGAGGCAUCCAUUUCUUUUCAGAUUCAGCUAAAAAGAAAUUUUAAAAAUCCAUUCAUCUCAAAAUAUUCCUUCUCUUUUACUUCUGUGCACUCUACGUUUCUGCUUCUUCGUAUAUUGGCCGGGUUAUCGUCACCUUUUUCAGGCUAUAUAUCUAAGUUUUCCAAAAGAAGAAGGAAAUGGCGGUUUACACAAUGAACUCAGACAAGAUAUUCCUUCGAUGCUUGGACAUGGAAGCAAUCCAAGUGUAUGAAUUGGAUAGUCCUUACUUAUUUCCGGUGAAAGGAAAACAUUGGGUCCAUCUUGGUUUCAGCAUUGGGCAUGGUAAUAAAAACUAUGAAGCGUUGAAGAUAGGGGACAAAGAGAUUAGAGGUCCAGAUUUAGAAAACUUAAUCAAUGAUCUUUUCAAAAUUUAAGGUACUCAAAGAGGCUGAAAACGGUAUGUACUUUUAUUGGCCCUCUACUACCGAAAAACCAGACAUGCAUAAUAACACCUUUAGGCCCAACACAGUCAAUUCCAGAAAAGAGAGUUUCAUUUCGAGCUCCUUACACUGGUGCCGACUUUGACUUCAAUAAUUGGCGAGUUUUUAGAGCCGCAAUACCCCUUUAUGUUGUGAAACGCCAAAAAUUUCUCUCAAACUUGUAUGAAAUAUAUUAUUACGACGGGAAUAGGUAUCAGGCGGAGGCAGGAGGCUUACACUAGAAAGGAAAUAGUUUCCGUUCCAUGUCCAGCUGCAAGCCUCUCUAACGUUGCUUCCAUGAAAUUAAGAUAUAUAAUGGCAUCCUAUUACUUCCCCAAAUCUUGUUGAAAAGAGUUGUUAACCAUACAACCCCUCUCUCUCCCAGGCAUCUCCAGACUUCGAUAGGUAUACCAUCGGGCCCCACUGCCCUCUUGCGUCCCAUCUUUUUCAGUGCCAUUUCGACUUCUCUCUUUUGAAUUCUUCGCAUAAAGUCUAGGUUAACCAUAUCUCGAGGGAUAUUUGUAUCCCCAAUAUCGCGUCCUUGAUCCCCGUUAAAACCGUCAAGUCAUCAAGCGUUCACAACUUACAAAGUCGAUUUUUCCUCAUCUUUCAUUUACUACUUCCUCUGUUUCCCUAAAUAAGUAUAUAUCGUGUCAUUUGAUUUUUUGCACUAUUUAUAUUUGUCAUGUUUGUGAUUCAUAUUCUUACAUAAAGAAAAUUGUAGACAUGUGGAUCUUAUUAGAGAGCCGUCAACCAUGAUGCAAUAUAAAUGAACGGAAAAAGUAUAUGAAUUUUUAUUUAAAAAGAUGGGUCGUUUUUUUUAUCUUUUUGACCGGCCGGCGAUCGCAAUUUAGAAGGUGUAUCAUAGUGCACAUAGAGCAUGGUACACCUUAAGAACACUAGUAUGUAUUUGAAAGAACUUCUGAUUACUAGAAAAGAACAUGCGAUGUCUUUGUUCAUCGAUUAUAUUGCAAUAUUGCCCAUGUUCGGCCUUUUCGGUUUCAUGUGAUAUUUUUAAGCAUCAUAUUGCCCUGUGAUCUCAAUUUGUGCUUAUUUUAUUAUUAGUUUGUCCUUG
Spinacia oleracea (spinach) is the source of this 1631-nucleotide long non-coding RNA. RefSeq lists it as uncharacterized. The transcript is spliced from 2 exons. Lineage: Eukaryota; Viridiplantae; Streptophyta; Magnoliopsida; Caryophyllales; Amaranthaceae. The record is from RefSeq and is a predicted model, not a curated record.